Molecule: long non-coding RNA, 1240 nt
Organism: Fundulus heteroclitus (mummichog)
Lineage: Eukaryota; Metazoa; Chordata; Actinopteri; Cyprinodontiformes; Fundulidae
Exons: 3
Source: RefSeq, a predicted model, not a curated record
CCUUCCUUCCUUCCUUCCUUCCUUCCUUCCUUCCUUCCUUCCUUCCUCUCCUCCACUUCCCUCCAUCAGAAGCCAGUGUGGACCUGAAGUCACCGUGUUGGUGUCAGAGUUCUGACAGAACAGAACCGACUCUGAGGUUCCGUUUAAGGCUGAAUCAGGGACCUUCUCAGGUGGUCCGGUUGUUCUGGGUCGGUUCUAAAGGGUUCUUUGUGGUUCUGAAGGUUGUUGGAGAAUAAUAUUGCAUGUUCUGCUAAGUCUGCAGGUUAUGAAUGAGACUGCGGGUUCUAUGUGAGGUGGAAGGUUCUGUUUCAGCCUGAGGGUUCUAUUUAAGGCUGUUGGUUCUAUUAAAACCAGGAGGUUCUGUUUAAGGCUGGAGGUUCUAUUAAAACCAGCAGGUUCUGUUUAAAGCUGAAGGUUCUAUAUAAUUCUGUAGGUUCUGUUUAAAGCUGGAGGUUCUAUAUAAUUCUGUAGGUUCUGUUUAAAGCUGGAGGUUCUAUAUAACUCUGCAAGUUCUGUUUAAGGCUGUUGGUUCUAUUAAAACCAGGAGGUUCUGUUUAAGGCUGGAGGUUCUAUUAAAACCAGGAGGUUCUGUUUAAGGCUGGAGGUUCUAUAUAAUUCUGCAGGUUCUGUUUAAGACUGGAGGUUCUAUAUAAUUCUGUAGGUUCCGUUUAAAGCUGGAGGUUCUAUAUAAUUCUGUAGGUUCUGUUUAAAGCUGGAGGUUCUAUAUAACUCUGUAGGUUCCUUUUAAAGCUGGAGGUUUUAUAUAAUUCUGCAGGUUCUGUUUAAGGCUGUUGGUUCUAUUAAAACCAGCAGGUUCUGUUUAAAGCUGGAGGUUCUCUAUAAUUCUGUAGGUUCUGUUUAAAGCUGGAGGUUCUAUAUAAUUCUGUAGGUUCUGUUUAAGGCUGGAGGUUCUAUAUUACUCUGUAGGUUCUGUUUAAAGCUGGAGGUUCUACAUAAUUCUGCAGGUCCUGUUUAAAGCUGGAGGUUCUAUAUUACUCUGCAGGUUCUGUUUAAGGCUGUUGGCUCUAUUAAAACCAGCAGGUUCUGUUGAAAGCUGGAGGUUCUAUAUAACUCUGUAGGUUCCUUUUAAGGCUGGAGGUUCUAAAUAAUUCUGCAGGUUCUGUAUAAAUCACAUGUUCCGGUACCAUCCAGCUGAGCUGUUAGCGUGUCUUUAGAACCUCCUCCAGCGCUGGUCCAGGACACACAGAACCUGCCUUAACAGCUGGACUCACCUGUGUCU